RNAcentral lists this long non-coding RNA (218 nucleotides) under Zostera marina. RNAcentral describes it as "long non-coding RNA (ZMAR_LNC000793)". Lineage: Eukaryota; Viridiplantae; Streptophyta; Magnoliopsida; Alismatales; Zosteraceae. The record is from RNAcentral.
CCUACAUUGAUUGAUAUUGUUUUGCCCAAAAUAUUUAUCGAUUUCUUCAUAAUUGAACUGAGAUAAACGGAUGUAAUCUUCUCCUUCGUUAUUCCCCUUCAACAACGGAGUGCAAGAUCUUCAAAAUCAAAGUGUGCCGGAAGAAAUAAAGAAAGGGAAGAAAUACCUAGAUAUAUGAAAUAGAACAGAACUUGAAGCUUGGAGAGAUGAAAUCUCCC